Hippopotamus amphibius kiboko is the source of this 70-nucleotide small nucleolar RNA. RefSeq annotates it as small nucleolar RNA SNORD113/SNORD114 family. The record is from RefSeq and is a predicted model, not a curated record. NCBI's taxonomy places the organism in Eukaryota, Metazoa, Chordata, Mammalia, Artiodactyla, Hippopotamidae. The transcript has a single exon.
UGGACCAAUGGUGAUGCAGUGGAGUAUGAGUCAUGGAUGAUGGAUACUUGUGUAGAACUCUGAGGUCCAA